Cordylochernes scorpioides is the source of this 73-nucleotide non-coding RNA. Lineage: Eukaryota; Metazoa; Arthropoda; Arachnida; Pseudoscorpiones; Chernetidae. The record is from the annotation of a GenBank genome assembly.
GUUCAGGGAUGGGAAUCGAACCCACAAUGUUCCGCUUACCGGGCAGAUGCCAUGUCCACUAGGCUACCCUGGA